This 253-nucleotide ribosomal RNA is filed under the name uncultured bacterium. RNAcentral's name for it is "partial 16S ribosomal RNA". It matches the Rfam family "Bacterial small subunit ribosomal RNA", at positions 524 to 776 of the family's 1533-position model. The record is from RNAcentral.
UACGUAGGGGGCAAGCGUUGUCCGGAUUUAUUGGGCGUAAAGAGCGUGUAGGCGGCUAAAUAGGUCCGUUGUGAAAACUCGAGGCUCAACCUCGAGAUGCCGAUGGAAACCAUUUGGCUAGAGUCCGGAAGAGGAGAGUGGAAUUCCCGGUGUAGCGGUGAAAUGCGCAGAUAUCGGGAAGAACACCCGUGGCUAAGGCGGCUCUCUAGUACGGUACUGACGCUGAGGAGCGAAAGCGUGGGGAGCGAACAGG